Molecule: ribosomal RNA, 253 nt
Filed under: uncultured bacterium
Lineage: Bacteria
Description: partial 16S ribosomal RNA
Rfam family: Bacterial small subunit ribosomal RNA
Source: RNAcentral
UACAGAGGGUGCGAGCGUUAAUCGGAAUUACUGGGCGUAAAGGGCUCGUAGGCGGCCAACUAAGUCAGACGUGAAAUCCCUCGGCUUAACCGGGGAACUGCGUCUGAUACUGGAUGGCUUGAGUUUGGGAGAGGGAUGCGGAAUUCCAGGUGUAGCGGUGAAAUGCGUAGAGAUGUGGAGGAACACCAGUGGCGAAGGCGACUCUUUGGGCCGUAACUGACGCUGAGGAGCGAAAGCAUGGGGAGCGAACAGG